RNAcentral lists this ribosomal RNA (440 nucleotides) under uncultured Paracoccaceae bacterium. Its description in RNAcentral is "bacterial SSU rRNA". It matches the Rfam family "Bacterial small subunit ribosomal RNA", at positions 338 to 795 of the family's 1533-position model. The record is from RNAcentral. Lineage: Bacteria; Pseudomonadati; Pseudomonadota; Alphaproteobacteria; Rhodobacterales; Paracoccaceae.
CCUACGGGUGGCAGCAGUGGGGAAUAUUGGACAAUGGGCGAAAGCCUGAUCCAGCAAUGCCGCGUGAGUGAUGAAGGCCUUAGGGUUGUAAAGCUCUUUUACCCGGGAUGAUAAUGACAGUACCGGGGGAAUAAGCUCCGGCUAACUCCGUGCCAGCAGCCGCGGUAAUACGGAGGGAGCUAGCGUUGUUCGGAAUUACUGGGCGUAAAGCGCACGUAGGCGGUUUUUCAAGUCAGAGGUGAAAGCCCGGAGCUCAACUCCGGAAUUGCCUUUGAAACUGGAUGACUGGAAUCUUGGAGAGGCGAGUGGAAUUCCGAGUGUAGAGGUGAAAUUCGUAGAUAUUCGGAAGAACACCAGUGGCGAAGGCGACUCGCUGGACAAGUAUUGACGCUGAGGUGCGAAAGCGUGGGGAGCAAACAGGAUUAGAUACCCUUGUAGUC